RNAcentral lists this ribosomal RNA (433 nucleotides) under Uroptychus scambus. RNAcentral describes it as "partial 16S ribosomal RNA". It matches the Rfam family "Bacterial large subunit ribosomal RNA", at positions 1925 to 2618 of the family's 2925-position model. The record is from RNAcentral. Lineage: Eukaryota; Metazoa; Arthropoda; Malacostraca; Decapoda; Chirostylidae.
AAAGGGCCGCAGUUAUUUUGACUGUGCAAAGGUAGCAUAAUCAUUAGUCUUUUAAUUGAAGGCUUGAAUGAAUGAUUGGACGAGAAAUAAACUGUCUCAAAUUAAAUAAAUUGAAAUUUACUUUUAAGUGAAAAGGCUUAAMUUMAUUUAAGGGACGAUAAGACCCUAUAAAUCUUUAUUAUUUUAUUGGGGUGAUAUAAAUAUAAUAAAUAACUAUUUAACUUUAAUUACAAUAAUUUUUGAUUUUAAAGAUCCUUUAUUAAGAUUUUAAGAUCAAGUUACUUUAGGGAUAACAGCGUUAUUUUUUUUAAGAGUUCUCAUCAAAAAAAAAGUUUGCGACCUCGAUGUUGAAUUAAAAAAUCCUUAUGGUGCAGAAGUUAUAAAGGAAAGUCUGUUCGACUUUUAAAAUUUUACGUGAUCUGAGSSAVKUGSA